This 585-nucleotide ribosomal RNA is filed under the name Triticum aestivum (bread wheat). RNAcentral describes it as "partial small subunit ribosomal RNA". Lineage: Eukaryota; Viridiplantae; Streptophyta; Magnoliopsida; Poales; Poaceae. The record is from RNAcentral.
AUGACUGUAAUAGUUUUCAUAGAUCUGAGUGAUCAUGAUAUUAUUGACUUGAGCAGCAGCGACGACGAGACUGUUCAGGAGGAUCAUAUUGCUACUCAGCACCGGGCGGCGUCGUUUGAUAGGAAGACUAUGCAUGUCAUAGCUGGUGAAGGAAUCCAAGAUGUGCAGGCUGCUUUUGUUGCAACUAGUGAAGGAAGGCAAGAUGUGCAGGCUCUGUUUGCUGCAGCUAGUGAAGGAAGACAAGAGGCUGCUGCUUGCGGACAUGCUUUGGAAGUCACCACAUUGUCCUUGGUUACGGAAAAAGAACCGCUUGUUGUAGCUAGUGAAGGAAGCCAAGAUGUGCAUGUCAGGCAGCGGCAGCAAGAUCGAUCGGAUUCAGAGAGAAGACUAGGUGUUUUGCGUUGCGCACAAACUGCAACUUUUCUUGUUUUUCCUUCUCUGUUAUGUAUACUGCGAUUACAGAAUGACUGGGAGAGUGAUCCGAGCUUCACGGCCGUGCCAUUCCACGUCCACUCGCCACCUCCCUUUACGCCGCCAUGCUCGCAUGAGCUCGUGCCAUCCCACGAUGCGCGCACAGCGGCCUAA